This 253-nucleotide ribosomal RNA is filed under the name uncultured bacterium. Its description in RNAcentral is "partial 16S ribosomal RNA". It matches the Rfam family "Bacterial small subunit ribosomal RNA", at positions 524 to 776 of the family's 1533-position model. The record is from RNAcentral.
UACGGAGGGUGCAAGCGUUAAUCGGAAUUACUGGGCGUAAAGCGCACGCAGGUGGCUGAGAAAGUCGAUUGUGAAAGCCCUGGGCUUAACCUGGGAAUUGCAGUCGAAACUACUCGGCUAGAGUAUGGGAGAGGGUAGUGGAAUUCCCGGUGUAGCGGUGAAAUGCGUAGAGAUCCGGAGGAAGACCGGUGGCGAAGGCGGUCUGCUGGGCAGUUUCUGACACUGAGGCGCGACAGCGUGGGGAGCAAACAGG